This 106-nucleotide unclassified non-coding RNA is filed under the name uncultured Mycobacterium sp. RNAcentral's name for it is "partial 16S-23S ribosomal RNA intergenic spacer". Lineage: Bacteria; Bacillati; Actinomycetota; Actinomycetes; Mycobacteriales; Mycobacteriaceae. The record is from RNAcentral.
GGGGUGUGGUGUUUGAGUUGAGUUAUGGAUAGUGGGCGUGAGCAUGGAACACCCGAGGUUUUCGGGUGUUGAUGCGCAGUUUUUUUCGAAUGUGGGUUUACUCAAA